UACGAAGGGUGCAAGCGUUACUCGGAAUUACUGGGCGUAAAGCGUGCGUAGGUGGUUCGUUAAGUCUGAUGUGAAAGCCCUGGGCUCAACCUGGGAAUGGCAUUGGAAAUUGGCGAUCUAGAGUGCGGUAGAGGGUAGUGGAAUUCCCGGUGUAGCAGUGAAAUGCGUAGAGAUCGGGAGGAACAUCUGUGGCGAAGGCGACUGCCUGGACCAGCACUGACACUGAGGCACGAAAGCGUGGGGAGCAAACAGG
RNAcentral lists this ribosomal RNA (253 nucleotides) under uncultured bacterium. RNAcentral describes it as "partial 16S ribosomal RNA". It matches the Rfam family "Bacterial small subunit ribosomal RNA", at positions 524 to 776 of the family's 1533-position model. The record is from RNAcentral.